Molecule: long non-coding RNA, 2010 nt
Organism: Magallana angulata
Lineage: Eukaryota; Metazoa; Mollusca; Bivalvia; Ostreida; Ostreidae
Exons: 3
Source: RefSeq, a predicted model, not a curated record
AUCAUUAAAGUUUAACAGUAAAAGUUUUCAGCGCAGUGGAUGUACUCAUUAUUUUUUAACUUUUUGCUGUUUUUUAUUGCCUCUUGAUUAUUUUUCAUUAUUCCAAACAAUUCACUCAACUGCUUUUACACCCCAUUAACAAUUUGCACAGAAAUCAAUCGACUUAAUGCAAUUGAUGCACUUUGGCUUUAUGUUAUGCAUGUCUGAAAAAAUCUAAAUUUGGACCGUGUUCCUUAUUCUCCAAAGGCUGGAUUAGUAGGCUAGAGUCUAUCUCUCAAAUGUCACUGUAACCUUGGAAGGAAGUCUGAGCUCCAGCCGAUAUAUAUGCAGAAAAUUAUAAAUUUUUUAGGAGAUUACCGAUUCCUUAUAAUACUAGUAUUGAACUCACACACGCGCGAACAAUAUUUUUGUAUCCGACGGAGUCCGUAUCUUUCAAAAACAUUCGAACCGAUACAACAUUAUAUCAUUAUUCCAUGCGUCUAUUGUCCCGGCUUAGGGUAAAGAUCCAGGAAACCUUUGUAGCCCGAUGUAACCAUUUUCUCAGAGCUCUAUCCUAUAAAGUAGUAGUCACAGAAUAUCUUUUCUUAGCAAUCACGUUGAAAUAAAACUAUAUACAUAUAUGUCUAAAUUUUGAUCCUUGGGCUACAUUUACUGGCCACUUCUUCCCUUGUUGAUCUACAUCUAUAUGAAAUUAUCAGUACAACAACCACGCCAAGAGGAACGGACUCUUUUUAAUUCAUCCUCCAAUAAAAGAACGGUGCUUUCACAGCUGAUAAACCAUAUCUAACGGUUGUAAACCCUAGUUAACGAUUUCUAAUCUAGGUUUAGUUGUCUGUAAACGUUAACCAUAUAUUAUGCUAAAAAUAUAGAUUCCCAUUUGUUAACUUAAGUUUACAUUCGUUAACUAUCAUAGUUGUUUAAUAAUAGUUGUUUGUUUUCAAUCGUGACAUCAUAUUUAUCAGAUAAACUAUGUUUUGCAAUCGCUAAAUAGUGCACACUUCCAAAACAUACUGGCUAGUAUAGACGAUCGCGUUAUCUAUAUGGUAAACAAAUGUAAAAAAUGGAUUACCGUCGUUAACGUUUUCUGUCCGUAAACUACAGUUUACUACAGUAACUGAUAAACCUUUUUUAUCGACUGAAACCUUGUUUAUACACUGAAAUUAAAACAAUGUUUACCUCAUUUUUGUACAUAUGACACGCCAAAGAUACCGGUACAUGUUUGUCAUCUACUGAACAAUGAACUUGGAACUACAACUCGAGACGGAGAUUGGAGCCAGCUGCCUGUCCGCAAAGGUUCAAACAGGCAAAAUAAGAAUAUUUAAAACAGCUGUUUUCUGUCAACGAAAACAACAGAUACAAGGAUGUUGCUCUGAUGCAAAACAAAAGCAAUAAAGUUAACCUGCUGUGCCGGUAUAUUUACCUCACUGUGUGGCCAUGUGUACUCUGAAUGUGGAACACCGCCAUGCUCUUGAAAAAUACUAAGGGAAUAAUUGCAUUAUAAUUGCAUUGCUCUAAGCCGAGCUUUCAAUCAUUUAGCCUGAAACAAUUACAGACUACUUGACUCUAUAUAUGUGGCUUCUACAUGGCACCCAAAGAAGCCGCCCUAGUAGUGAGUAGGAAGCAGGUACUGUAUACUAGAUCAUCGUUAUGGGAUACAUCUUGAAUAUAAAUGAAUAGAAAUAGUUUCUUUAUGGAACAUGAUAUGAAAUUCUUUAGAAAGUGGCGACCUUGAGUUUAUAAUGGUAUUAUUCUAUCUAUAUAGUAAACAUGAAAAUCCUAAGAAACCCCCUGUGCGACAGAUAAGCACACCAAGUUGUGCAUUAUAAAACUGAAGAGGGAGAAAUGUUUGGUAUGUUUUAAAUAAAGAAUAAACGAUCUUUUCCGUUUUGUUGAAUGAUAGAAUAAAUCAAGAAAUACUGCCAGAGAAUUGAACAAUAUGUAUAACAGUGUAAGUGGAGCAUGUGACUACAUACAACCAAUGGUAAAGUAUCUGUCUAUUUCAGCGUCCAA